This 1372-nucleotide long non-coding RNA is filed under the name Parus major (Great Tit). RNAcentral's name for it is "lncRNA (ENSPMJG00000014431.1)". Lineage: Eukaryota; Metazoa; Chordata; Aves; Passeriformes; Paridae. The record is from RNAcentral.
GAUGCCUCAUGGAAUUUUGGUCUGUCAGCAAGGCAGCUCUGGGUGACAGGUACCAGCAGCUCUGCUGAAACAUUUAAUUAGUGGCUGCAAUGCAGCCAAUUACUCACUAUUAAUUUAAAGGCUGUUUGAGACUCUGGUAUUAACUCGAUGGCCUUGACUGAUUUCCAGGAGUGUUUGCUGGAUACGUGUGCAACGUGAAAAUGAUGCAAGCAAACCCAACCUCCUGAAUCCAGAGAGGCCCAGGGGUUUCUCUGAGUAUCCCUCCAGAAAACUUCACAAAAACCCUGUAUUAGAGACGGUCUCAGCAACUCAGAACAGCCUCCACAAGCCAAAAGUUAUGUCUAUUUAUACCAAUGCAGAACCCAGGAGGAAAUUUUAUUUUCUCCUCUGUUAUUAAAUCAGAUAAUCCAAAAGGACUUUGCUCAAGACUUUUGCACUCCAUUGGCUGCAUGGAACAUCUGGAAAUUAAACUGGAAGUUAUCUCCCACAACAUCUGAGCUGUGCAGAAGUCAAGACAGGAGGAUAUGGGUUUGCUGUUAUUUUACCUAAAGCUGAUUCACAGAUAAAUCAGAACCUCAGCUGUGGGCUAACAUGCCAAAUGCAAAUUUCAGAUCCUCCUAUGACCCACUUUGCUUUGCUGAAAUCUUUCUUCCAAUGUUAAUUUUAUUUGGCCAAUGUGCAGGAAGAAUCAAAGCCUCAGCAAACAUAUCAUAAUCUAUAUAUUGUUUAAGUAGCAGCAAAUACCAGAAGUUUCUUCUGUGCCUAACUUUACUCGCUCCUAAAUCUUUCUGACAAGAAAUUAAAUUUGGAAAUUAUUUGCAGGAAAAAAAAACCUAGAAGUAAAACUGGGUUUUGUUAAACAUGACAACUUACAGUUUUCCCAAUACACUCAGCAGUAAAAGUUUCUGAUGUCUUCUCAGCAGCACUUGAGUUUGGGGGAUUUGACUCUGGGGACCUUGUCUGAGCUGCAAUUGGACCCAUGGAAUUUUGGAUUUCAACCUGCAAGCUCUUUUAGUGGGAUGAAUUCUGCCUCAGAUGGGAUUCCAUGAGGAGCUCAAGCAAAGCUGGAAUAUAAGGAGCAAAGACAAAGCCAAAACAUGAAUUGCCUCCAAGCCUGUGAGACUAAAUCUCAAAGUAUUACUGGAUUAAAUGCAGUCACAAAAUUCAGGGUUAUAGCAAAGGUUUUAAAAUAAUGUUAUCAUUCCUCAAUCAAUUUUGAAAGGUGGCUUUUCAUAGAUGAUUAAUAUAGUUCAGGAACUUGGGGGUUUUGCCCCUGUUCUGCUGCUCUCUUCCACUUCAGAGUAGAAAAUAAGAAAUAGAAAGUAGAAAACAUUCAUAGAAUGCAGUUUUCAAAAUAAAACAUUAACACCUA